Erinaceus europaeus (western European hedgehog) is the source of this 3342-nucleotide long non-coding RNA. RefSeq lists it as uncharacterized. The record is from RefSeq and is a predicted model, not a curated record. The transcript has 2 exons. NCBI's taxonomy places the organism in Eukaryota, Metazoa, Chordata, Mammalia, Eulipotyphla, Erinaceidae.
UGAAAUAAUGAAAGAAAUGAAAUGAAAUCCCCCGGAGACAAAGCAUCAGGGACGCUGGACCUGACCCGUCCAUCUCCGAGCUGGGCUUCCCCUCCCCGGAGACCCGGCUGCUACGCACGUGCGGGUCGGCGUGGCCUGGGUCCUCGGGCGGUUGUGGCCGGCCCACCAGCGCCCGGCUCCCUCCUCCUCCUCCACCCGGCCCCUCUUCCUUUUCUGUCUUCCACUUUUCCUCCCCUGGCCAACGUCUUUUAGUCCUCAGGGACACUCCCGAUGCUUCUGCCAUUAAUCAUCUUUUUUUCUUCUUCUUUUUUUCAUUCUACCAAUGAGAACAUCCUCCUCUGGCAGUAAUGUAUACUCCCCCCUUUUCAGUCGGCGUGUGACUUUAUCUUCAAUAUGUGUGGACUCUGUGCCAGGUGCCAAGUGGGGCACUGAGCCAGACACCGGCAUCGUGGCAGCCCGGCUUCCACCAGGACAUAAAGACGGCUCGGCCGUCCAAGGGGAGUGUGGCUGUGGCGUCGGGGGAGAGUGGGGUGACAGGUUUCCUCAGCCAACUGAGCCCUGAAACUUAAAGGACGGAUCAGACUUGCUGAGGCUGAACAGAGUCGAAGCAGAGGAGACUGGGCGUCUGACAGGAGCGCGUGAUGUCCGGGAACUGAAAGAAGGAUCCUGGAGCAGCGCGACAAGUGGGAAGAGGGCCCAGCUCUGGCCCAGCUCAUGAGAGUUUAACCCGGUGUCCAGCGCCCUGGGGAGCCAUUAACGGGUUUUGAGCAGGGAACUUAAUUCUUGAGAUCUGUUUUUGGAACAAUACCUUGAGGGUCUGGGGGGUGGCACAGCCAGUUAAGCACACAUAGUGCAAAGUGCAAGGAUCUGGGUUCCAGCCCCCGGCUCCCUAUCUGAGGGGGGGAGGAUGCUUCACUAACUGAAGCAGGUCUGCAGGUGUCUUUCUCUCUCCCUCUCUGUCUCCCCCCUCCUCUCUCAAUUUCUCUCUGUCCUGCCCAAUAAGAUGGAAAAAAAUGGCUUCCAGGAGCAGUGGAUUCAUAGUGCCGGCACCAAGCCCCAGCGAUAACCCUGGAGGGGAGAGAGAGAGUGACAGGGAGAGGGAAAGGGAGGCCAGGUAGGAGGCUCCUAAGGAACCCCAGAUGAACGAUACAGUAUCGUGUGGGGAUGGAGGGAAGCCAGUAGACUGAGCAGAACAGAAUCGGGUUAAAUUCCUGUGGUACAUUCACAUGCUUUACUGAGAUCUCUACCACCUGUCCUCUGUAGUUGGCAUUUUUUUUCUGUCUUCUUUUUUCUCUUGAUAUACAUAUUUUCACAGUGAGAGAGAAAUGGGGAGGGGCAGGGGAUACAGUGGGUGAGACAGAGCGACACCUGCAGCACUGUUUCUCCACUGGAGACCCAGCCCCGCCUCCCACAAGUGGGAACCAAGGGCUUGAACCCAGGUCUCUGGCGUGGUGAUGUGCUCCACCAGGCACACCGCCGUACAGCCUGCCUUCUCUUUUACAGAUGCCCAGAGCCUCUCGUGAGCCUUGCUUGUGUUGAAUAAAGCUGGAGUAGGACUGGGAGGGGAAAGGGCCCCCAACAGGACGGCAGAGAUCCGGGCUCUCGUCUAAAACUCCACGAACUGGAGUGAGUAGCUUAGCUGGCCCGGCUUCCUUUCCCUCGUGCAUAAAAUGGGGCUAAGAGCAGUGAAGACCCAGUGCGGUUGGAAAGGUCAUAACAACGAGGAGCUUUUAUGGUGUAGGCAUGCCAUGUGCCAGAUGGUGUCCUGACUGCUUUGCAAAGACGCCCUUGUAGGGACCACGUGGGGGCACACCUGGCCGAGCGCACAAGGACCUGGGUUCAAGCCCCCGGUCCCCACCUGCAAGGGGAAAGCUUCAUAAGUGGUGAAGCAAGGCUGCAGAGAUCUGGAGGCCUGGCGUGAGGCCUGGGACUUGAACCACCUUCACUGAGUUGCCUGCCUCCUGAACCUCUUUUGUCUCUCCCGACAAGGUAGUGACGGGAGUCAGAGCUGUGAAGACUGACUUAAAUGUGAAGCCCCCGACAUCCGUAGGCACCGUCUCGUGCUGGUCUCUGCAGCAGGCCGGUGGAUGCAGGGACACAGGGAGACACGGCGAACUUCAGGAGGCAGGAAAGAAGGACUUGUCACCGCCCAGCCUUGCAAAUGAAGAAUGUGUGGGUAUCCGUACAGGGGUCCUUCCUGCAGUGCGCCUUCUUGCAGAAGCCCUCGCCCUUCCAGCCCACGUCUAGGGCAUAGAACGCACUGCUCUCUUCUCUCCACAGAGCCCUGUGCUGCACAAUGUCACUGAGUGAAAAUCAGUCUGGCUGACACAUUCUGUCUAAAGGGAACAGGGAUGGAGCACUUGUGAAUUAAGUGAGUGUCGUACUGGUUUCACCAAAGUUAAUUAAAAGAAGACCAGAUCUCAUCUACAAACUAGUAAAAAAGGAGAAAGUGUGACUAGCUCAGUCUAAGUGAAGAGAUGCAGCAUUACAUGUGUAAAAGCAGACCGUCCUUGGUGUGGGGAAGUGAGUUCUUUCACGCUGUGCUGGGGGCCAGCAAGCUGCACUGCAGAGCAGUCUGGGCAGUCUCUGGGGACAUAAGCACACCUGUCAUUCACCGGGGCCCUGCUUGGCUCUGGCUGCCAGUGCAGCUGGGAACUGAGCCUGGGAGCUCAGAGCCUCAAGCAUCAAAGUCAUUCGUGGAACCAUCACGCCAUCUCCCCAGCCUUCUGGUGGCAUUUUCAAUGCUUGAUGGCCUAGAGGUGCCACCUGACCUCAUCUGUCCUGAAACAGUUUGUCUGCACGUGCUAAGAUGUCUACCCAAGAACGUUCACAGCACACUCAAUGUAAAAGCAGGUAACUGUCAGCAAAAUGAAGAGCCAUUGUGUAAAGAGGACUUUUCAGGGGGGCAGGCGGUAGCACGGCAGGUUAAGCGCAGGUGGUGCAAAGCACAAAGACCGGUAUAAGGAUCCUGGUUCAAGCCCCCGGCUCCCCACCUGCAGGGGAGUCACUUCACAGGCGGUGAAGCAGGUCUACAGGUGUCCGUCUUUCUCUCCUCCCUCUCUGUCUUCCCCUCCUCUCUCCAUUCCUGUCUGACCUAUCCAACAACGAACGACAUCAACAAUAACAAUAAUAACCACAACAAGGCUACAACAACAAAGGGGGAAAAAUGGCCUCCAGGAGCAGUGGAUCAUGGUGCAGGCUCUGAGCCCCAGCAAUAACCCUGGAGGCAAAAAAAAAAAAAAAAAGAAGCAGUUGAUAUAAACUAAAUUACGUGUAAAAUGAAUAGUUUAACAUCUUCCAAUGUCUUUUUUGUCCACCAAUUAAACAGAACUUUUUUAAAUA